GUGCCUAAUACAUGCAAGUCGAACGGUCUUUCUAUGGAAGCUUGCUUCCACUGAGAAGAUAGUGGCGAACGGGUGAGUAACACGUGGGGUAACCUGCCCAUAAGAGGGGGAUAACAUCCGGAAACGGGUGCUAAUACCGCAUAGUUUUCUUGAUCGCAUGAUCGGGAAAGGAAAGACGGCCUUUGUGCUGUCGCUUAUGGAUGGACCCGCGGCGUAUUAGUUAGUUGGUGAGGUAACGGCUCACCAAGACGAUGAUACGUAGCCGACCUGAGAGGGUGAUCGGCCACAUUGGGACUGAGACACGGCCCAAACUCCUACGGGAGGCAGCAGUAGGGAAUCUUCCGCAAUGGACGAAAGUCUGACGGAGCAACGCCGCGUGAGUGAAGAAAGGGUUUUCGGAUCGUAAAACUCUGUUGUCAGAGAAGAACAAGUUGGAGAGUAACUGCUCCAGCCUUGACGGUAUCUGACCAGAAAGCCACGGCUAACUACGUGCCAGCCGCAGC
Molecule: ribosomal RNA, 503 nt
Filed under: uncultured bacterium
Lineage: Bacteria
Description: bacterial SSU rRNA
Rfam family: Bacterial small subunit ribosomal RNA
Source: RNAcentral